This 595-nucleotide ribosomal RNA is filed under the name Salmonella enterica subsp. enterica serovar Enteritidis. RNAcentral describes it as "bacterial LSU rRNA". It matches the Rfam family "Bacterial large subunit ribosomal RNA", at positions 1 to 640 of the family's 2925-position model. The record is from RNAcentral. Lineage: Bacteria; Pseudomonadati; Pseudomonadota; Gammaproteobacteria; Enterobacterales; Enterobacteriaceae.
CGACUAAGCGUACACGGUGGAUGCCCUGGCAGUCAGAGGCGAUGAAGGGCGUGCUAAUCUGCGAUAAGCGCCGGUAAGGUGAUAUGAACCGUUAUAACCGGCGAUACCCGAAUGGGGAAACCCAGUGUGACUCGUCACACUAUCAUUAACUGAAUCCAUAGGUUAAUGAGGCGAACCGGGGGAACUGAAACAUCUAAGUACCCCGAGGAAAAGAAAUCAACCGAGAUUCCCCCAGUAGCGGCGAGCGAACGGGGAGGAGCCCAGAGCCUGAAUCAGCAUGUGUGUUAGUGGAAGCGUCUGGAAAGGCGCGCGAUACAGGGUGACAGCCCCGUACACAAAAGCGCAUGUGCUGUGAGCUCGAUGAGUAGGGCGGGACACGUGGUAUCCUGUCUGAAUAUGGGGGGACCAUCCUCCAAGGCUAAAUACUCCUGACUGACCGAUAGUGAACCAGUACCGUGAGGGAAAGGCGAAAAGAACCCCGGCGAGGGGAGUGAAAAAGAACCUGAAACCGUGUACGUACAAGCAGUGGGAGCACAGGUUUACCUGUGUGACUGCGUACCUUUUGUAUAAUGGGACAGCGACAAAUAUUCUGUAG